Molecule: long non-coding RNA, 781 nt
Organism: Arachis duranensis
Lineage: Eukaryota; Viridiplantae; Streptophyta; Magnoliopsida; Fabales; Fabaceae
Exons: 3
Source: RefSeq, a predicted model, not a curated record
UGACACAGCAGCUAUAAUAGUAAUUAAGCACAAGAUGUUACUCUAAUUCAUCCUACCGCAGUACUUUUCACCUGACUUUGCUUUAAGGUGAUAGUGAACUGAUCUUCAGUCCAUUUGCUGGCACGUCCGCGACGUUUGUAAUCUGAAACUUUUUGAGUAUUCUUUUGAAGUUCCUUCAUGGCCCCUUUCAGCAAAACUGUUUCUAACAUUGGUUUGGUUGCUUUGGUCUGCUCCAUCUCCAUAAGCAUGCAACGGAAAAGCAUAACAAGUAUAAGAGAUAUAAGAGAAGAAGAAGACUGGAGUACCAAUUCACCAUUUUGAAGGCUGGUUUCAUUAACAAUCUGGAAAAAGUGAAUGGGGCCUGGUGGAGAUGACAUUGCUUGAUGAAGCAGCUGGUUCUUAACUCUUGAGUGCCUUAAGGAUAAUGUGAUUAUGAUCAAAGUGCAAAACCAAUGCGUUAUAAAUAUGGAAACUUUGGAAGUUCUUAAUUACGGCGAAGUAAUUGCGGUGGUUUGGACAUGUGAGAAGAAGACCGAUAGAACAUCUAGUCAAGAGGAUGGAUGAGAUGAAAGAUGGACAAAGGGCGAAAAGUAGAAGAAGACUUAAGAAGACCACCCAGGAGGUGGUCAAACGAGAUCUACAUGUAAACGGUCUCUCUGUAGACAUGAUACAUGACAGAGCACAAUGGCGUCGUUUGAUUCAUGUAGCCGACCCCACUUAGUGGAAUAAGGCUUUGUUGUUGUUGUUGUUGUAAACCGAAUCAUGUUUAAAUUUUUUUGAC